AGGACGAACGCUGGCGGCGUGCCUAACACAUGCAAGUCGAACGGAGUUGAGGAGCUUGCUCCUUAACUAGUGGCGGACGGGUGAGUAACGCGUGAGUAACCUGCCUCUGAGAGGGGAAUAACGUUCUGAAAAGAACGCUAAUACCGCAUGACACAUAUUUGCCGCAUGACAGAUAUGUCAAAGAUUUUUAUCGCUCAGAGAUGGACUCGCGUCCGAUUAGUUAGUUGGUGAGGUAACGGCUCACCAAGACCGCGAUCGGUAGCCGGACUGAGAGGUUGAACGGCCACAUUGGGACUGAGACACGGCCCAGACUCCUACGGGAGGCAGCAGUGGGGGAUAUUGCGCAAUGGGGGCAACCCUGACGCAGCAACGCCGCGUGAAGGAUGAAGGUUUUCGGAUUGUAAACUUCUUUUCUCAGGGACGAAAUCUGACGGUACCUGAGGAAUAAGCUCCGGCUAACUACGUGCCAGCCGCCGC
RNAcentral lists this ribosomal RNA (477 nucleotides) under uncultured bacterium. RNAcentral's name for it is "bacterial SSU rRNA". It matches the Rfam family "Bacterial small subunit ribosomal RNA", at positions 26 to 518 of the family's 1533-position model. The record is from RNAcentral.